UUUAGUAUUGAGUAUUGACCG
RNAcentral lists this unclassified non-coding RNA (21 nucleotides) under synthetic construct. The record is from RNAcentral.